UUUCUCAACCCCACUCAACCCCACUCAACCCCACUCAAGACUCAACCCUAAACGACAAAGGCACAGCAGCCAUGUUUUAUCGUCUCCCGAUUCCUUUCUUUUCUCGAUUUUCUUUUCUCUUGCAUCUUUGAACGUGAUUGAAACUGUUGGCUGCAGAACAAAAAGAAAGAAACCGACCGACAUGAAAACUUGAUUUGAUGACUCACCCACAGAGAGACAUGCUUGUGCAGCACAAAUGAGUGGUCAUGCAAUGCUACUGGCUUGCCACUCGAACCCUUUAAUUAUAACACAAUCGUGUAAUUGUCUCAAAUUGAAAUGAUCUCAUCAAGAAUUUGAAUUUCGCCCUGCAGCCAAAUGAGAUUUGGAAAUAUUUCUAUGAAAACGCCUUGGCUACACCAACGAAAUGAGAAAGACGAAAGGAAAAAAAAGAAGAACGCGUGUACGACUAUCCGGUAGCAAAUGGGAAGCUGCCGCUACCACUCCAGAGGCGAAAUCCAUUCAUCUUGUUCCAAAAUCUCUCCCUCAGAGAAAACAGAAGAAAUGAUACUCUCUCGCGUAAGAUCCUUUUUUAAAAUUCCAUUAACGGAUAAAAAGGGGAAAGAGAUCUUACCAACGUUUGAAAGCAAUAACCAGAAGGUGGAUGGCAACAGCUCCAGGUGGAAUUCACACACACGCGCAUAAAUAGCCAACAACAAAAAAAUGAAAUUCGGAACGCAUUUUUGUGCCCCAUCUUUCAGCUUUUUCUGAUUCCACUCCAUUAGCAUCACUCGGAUGACUUGCGAAGGAACAAACAAAUCAAGGCUUGUCUGUUAUCUACGGCUGCGUUAUUCGUUAACUAGCGCACUCGUCCAGCUAUUUUAUCCACCUUGAUUUCAAGCGACCCACUAUCUUUUUUUGUUUGUUUGUUCCACGUAACAACGUACCUGCAGCGAUGUGAGUAAAGAAGACUGAUCCCCCUUUAUAUCGCUACGUGGGACCACCGUACACUGUUGCUAUACCUAUAGCAGAGCAGACGUUCCAGGUAAUAAAGAUAAAGACACUCGAAGCAGAAAAAAAAAAAAGGAAAUUCAACUCAUCAAAGUGGAAGGAGCCACCUGCAUUACACGGCCCAGGGAAACGAGAAAGAAAAAAAAAAUCUACCAUAGAAUUAUAUGGCAGCUAUUUAAAAACAGGUAUUUUUAUUUAUUUCAAGCAGGCGGCGUUGUAGCAAAACAAAGUUGUUUUGGAUAAUGGCACGAAUAUAUUUCGUUUGGUUGAUUAAAAUAAUAGAUGGAAUAAAUAAGAUUACACGCAGCAGGAGAGAGCAACGACAGGUAGGGCGAAAGAUUUUCAAUUCAUUCGAAUCACGAAAUUGUUGCAUCGAAUCAGUUCCAUCCAUUCACAAGACAUCCCAUUAUUCUAAUGUUUCAAAUGUGUACUCUAUUCCCCUUCAGAAAGAAAAAAAAGGAAGCAAACGUAACAAAUCGCUGACUUGACGGGAUGAAUUCAUUAUUAUCAUUUUUUUUUUUAACAGAUACAAACGAGAGAAUUUUCAGAAGAAAUAAUCAUAACAACGGGUUUUUUUUCUUUUGUUUUUCUUCUUUGCCCACCCGGACAUACCUACCCGAGUUGCUAGUCCAUCCACUAGUACAAUUACUAGGACAAGAAGGACUUGGCAGCAGUCGGUCAACAUGUGAUUAUUCCAUUAGGACAUUGGGUGGCCGAUCACGCAAUCUCACAUUUCUACUUUUGAUUUUCAUCGUCUCUCUCUCUCGAAAUUUACAAUUUUUUUUUCUUUUUUCUUUGAAAGAAAAGAAUUUAUUUCUUUUCUGAAAGCAAUCUGACAAUGGACGAGGCCGUGAGAAAUCUCUGAUGUUACCCCAAUCGGUUUGUGGCGUGUGUUAUCGUGACUGGUAAACUGCGCCCAGCUUUAUAUAUCCUCCCCCCUUUUUUUUCUUUCUUCUAAGGUCUUACACGUAGGUGAUGCAGCAGCAAAAUCUUGUAAGUUUUAGUAUCUUUUUUUUUUUUUUUCUUUUAAAUCCACAACAAAACGAAUAAUCAAGACAGGAAAUAAAAAGAGAAACGUU
This 2066-nucleotide long non-coding RNA is filed under the name Daphnia magna. RNAcentral's name for it is "uncharacterized LOC116929099, transcript variant X4". Lineage: Eukaryota; Metazoa; Arthropoda; Branchiopoda; Diplostraca; Daphniidae. The record is from RNAcentral.